GACAGAGGGUGCAAGCGUUGUUCGGAAUUACUGGGCGUAAAGCGCGUGUAGGCUGUUAGGUAAGUCGGAUGUGAAAGCCCUGGGCUCAACCCAGGAAGUGCAUUCGAAACUCCCGAACUGGAGUCCUGGAGAGGAAGGCGGAAUUCUCGGUGUAGAGGUGAAAUUCGUAGAUGUCGAGAGGAACAUCGGUGGCGAAGGCGGCCUUCUGGACAGUGACUGACGCUGAGACGCGAAAGCGUGGGGAGCAAACAGG
Molecule: ribosomal RNA, 253 nt
Filed under: uncultured bacterium
Lineage: Bacteria
Description: partial 16S ribosomal RNA
Rfam family: Bacterial small subunit ribosomal RNA
Source: RNAcentral